Molecule: ribosomal RNA, 465 nt
Filed under: uncultured bacterium
Lineage: Bacteria
Description: partial 16S ribosomal RNA
Rfam family: Bacterial small subunit ribosomal RNA
Source: RNAcentral
CCUACGGGAGGCAGCAGUGGGGAAUAUUGCGCAAUGGGCGAAAGCCUGACGCAGCGACGCCGCGUGAGGGAUGAAGGUCUUCGGAUCGUAAACCUCUGUUAGCAGGGAAGAACGGUCACUGUGCUAAUCAGCAGUGACUUGACGGUACCUGCAAAGGAAGCACCGGCUAACUCCGUGCCAGCAGCCGCGGUAAUACGGAGGGUGCGAGCGUUAAUCGGAAUUACUGGGCGUAAAGCGCUCGUAGGCGGUAUGUCAAGUCAAGGGUGAAAUCCCCGCGCUCAACGUGGGAACUGCCUUUGAAACUGGAGAACUGGAGUGUGGGAGAGGAUAGUGGAAUUCCAGGUGUAGAGGUGAAAUGCGUAGAUAUCUGGAGGAACAUCAGUGGCGAAGGCGACUAUCUGGCACAUAACUGACGCUGAGGAGUGAAAGCGUGGGUAGCAAACAGGAUUAGAUACCCGAGUAGUC